This 466-nucleotide ribosomal RNA is filed under the name uncultured bacterium. Its description in RNAcentral is "partial 16S ribosomal RNA". It matches the Rfam family "Bacterial small subunit ribosomal RNA", at positions 28 to 507 of the family's 1533-position model. The record is from RNAcentral.
GACGAACGCUGGCGGCGUGCUUAACACAUGCAAGUCGAACGGAAAGGCCCAGCUUGCUGGGUACUCGAGUGGCGAACGGGUGAGUAACACGUGGGUGAUCUGCCCUGGACUCUGGGAUAAGCCUGGGAAACUGGGUCUAAUACCGGAUAUGACCUUACAUCGCAUGGUGUUUGGUGGAAAGCUUUUGCGGUUCAGGAUGGGCCCGCGGCCUAUCAGCUUGUUGGUGGGGUAAUGGCCUACCAAGGCGACGACGGGUAGCCGACCUGAGAGGGUGAUCGGCCACACUGGGACUGAGAGACGGCCCAGACUCCUACGGGAGGCAGCAGUGGGGAAUAGUGUACCAUGGGCGCAAGCCUGAUGCAGCGACGCCGCGUGAGGGAUGACGGCCUUCGGGUUGUAAACCUCUUUCACCAGGGACGAAGCGUGAGUGACGGUACCUGGAGAAGAAGCACCGGCCAACUACGUG